UGGGAUGAAACCAGAAAUCAAUAGCAGGA
RNAcentral lists this non-coding RNA (29 nucleotides) under Homo sapiens (human). The record is from RNAcentral. Lineage: Eukaryota; Metazoa; Chordata; Mammalia; Primates; Hominidae.